This 636-nucleotide long non-coding RNA is filed under the name Macaca nemestrina (pig-tailed macaque). RNAcentral's name for it is "lncRNA (ENSMNEG00000045897.1)". The record is from RNAcentral. Lineage: Eukaryota; Metazoa; Chordata; Mammalia; Primates; Cercopithecidae.
GUGCUGCCGUGACUAUUCUGCAAGGCGCACAUUUGGGGGUCUCCUCAGGGCUGCUGGCCCGUGCCUUCUAGACCUUGGUUGUUUCCUCACUAAAAUGAGGGCACUGGCCUUGAGAUCAGAGGCCUCCUGCGUGCCCUGGCCUCAGAAUCUGUGGUGCCAGGGGGAAGGGGGUGGCAAAGAGAUUGGCUCUGUGAUUUGAGAGUUGGAAAGAAGAGUCUUUUAAACCCUUCAACAAAUAUUUGUGGAACACUCCACUUCCACGGGGCCAGGGCAGCACGAACUCUCUGGAAAGCCCUUGUGCCUGCAGGCAGCCAUGCAGAAAAGCCCUGGCCCCAGCCUCCUCCCCUCCUCCCAGCCCAGCCCUGUGGGGCUUGCAGCCGCCUCAAGUCACCUGCCUCCUCUGGGUGUCUGUGAUCUGGUCGCCCUUUUCAACUAUUUUCCUGUCUGCCCCGCUGACGCGUCCGCCGCCGGAACACCCCGCUGGCUGCGAGAACCUCCUCUCUCUGACUUCCCGCCUUCCUGCUGCGAUCCCGGUUCCGCCCCUCUCCAGCACCCUCGGCCGCUAGCGCCUAAGCUCUCCGCGGCCACCAGGGGGCGCCCGCGGCCAAGUCUGGGCGCGGGAGACGCCAAGCGCCC